Molecule: RNA transcript, 5557 nt
Organism: Mobula hypostoma (lesser devil ray)
Lineage: Eukaryota; Metazoa; Chordata; Chondrichthyes; Myliobatiformes; Myliobatidae
Exons: 5
Source: RefSeq, a predicted model, not a curated record
AGACGAGUGCGACAGGUAACUUGAUUUAGAGUUACAAAGCUGCUUUCCUCAGGGGUCCUGCAUUGCUGGAACCCAGGGAGAAGGGGAUAAGCUGUGGCUAACACGCGGCUUCAGAUCCGGAUCUCGCACUGAUAUCAGUUAGGAAUUUGCAGCCCCGGUGGAAAAUCCGGACCCAGGUCUUAUCCGGAUCUUUAAAGGCACCUGGCUGUGCCUGUGGCGGUGGUGGCUAAUGUGUGGGUGACUGACUUCAGUUCAGAGAGUGAGUUAUCACCGAUCACAUUUUCGGUUUGCACCGGGAUUUAACGAAAGUGGAAACUCAAAUAGGAAGCUGCGUCCUUCUCUGAAUUUCCCCAGGGAAAGGACACCAAUUUGCCGAGCGCCACGCAAGAGAAGCGGCAGAAAUGAAGCCCAUUCUCCAGCUGAAGUAUGGAGAGAAGAGCAGGAAGAAGCCUGAACAGGUGAUUAGUGGAAACCUGAGCAGUAUCUCCUUGAUAUAACUUUCCUGGUGAUUCUUCUGAUUCCAAAUAUUGCACUCUCUUGUAAGAACAGAAACUUAAAUAUGACAGAAGUAAUGAAUGAUUUCCAGUACAUCAUAUCUCAAGAUUUUGAGGAUUUGAAAGCACUUUUGGAUUCUAAGGUUUAUAAUAUCAGUUACAUCGAGCCACAAAGAUCAAAACAUUCUCUUUGCUCUGAUGGAAGGGAAAUUGACUCAAUCCAUCACAUGACAUGCUCUACUGUUUCUAUUACCAACAAAUUUAAUUUUGAUUUUACUCCGGAAAUAAUGGCCUUAUCCAGGAAAACUGAAGGAGUGCUAAAAUGCCAUUGCAAAAGACAAAAGCAUCAGAAAACUAAUAUCAGAAAAUCAAAGACUCCAACCAACGUCAUCCCUCGGAGAAAGACAAAAUCAGCACAAAAGAAGUUCCUAAGAAUUAAAAAUAAAAUUUCAGAUUUAUAUUUAUGCUGGAAGAAAAUGUAUAAAUUCACAAGAUGAUUAAUCCAUUAUAAUUUUAAUAUUUGUAUUAAUUGAGGAAAUACCUUUGCAACUAAAGCAUCUGUUCUGAUGGCUUUGUUGAAUUUGGGUUCAUGAUGCACGAUAGCAUUGCAGGUUUGAAUUGAAUGCAUUUGUGUAAUCUAUGUUGUGUCAUUCAUUGUGGUAAUUGCAACCACAUCAGACUUUCUGAGGAAGAAUUAAAUCAAGGCCUCAUCUGUUCUUAAAGCUGGGCGUGUAAAUCUCCUGGUUCUUAUCCAAAGACAAUUGGGGAAGUUCUUUUAUUGCCUUGUUGCAGCUUUGGGGAGAUUAGCAGUCACAAAUUGGCUGCCAAUUUACUCUAAAUUCCGACAAUGAUUUAACUCAUUGAUGAAGCACAUUAGGACAUCUUUGUGUUAUUAAAGAUUCCAUAUGAAUGUGUUCUUCCCUACCUUGCAAUGCUAAUUUUGGUAGUUUGCAUAAGGUAUGUGUUAUGAGGAGAAAGAAUAUAUUUUUUUAUUUACUUAUUGAAAGUACACUUUCACAACCUCUGUUUUCUUUUAAAAUGAAUCUUAAAACUUGCACCUUUGACCUGAAUUAAUGUGAGAUUCUUUAACAAUAGAAGUGGAUGAUGAUGCAUAAUGUGCAUUUUUUUUUACAUUUUAAGGGGGAAGCAACUUGUUAAAAUUUUCUAGGCUAUUUCUCACUGUGAUUGUUUUGUGUUACAAAAGAACUGCACUUAUAACCCCUUUUAUUUUUGCACAGUGCAGGUAGAUUACAUUGGGUCCAUUUGACAAUUCUCAAGUACUUCAAACCAGUUAUAUCUUUGAAACUAGCACUGAAGAAGAGGUCUGUUUUUUAAAAAAGCUGAUCAUCUUGGGGAGAGAUUUCUGCUCUGCAGAAUGCAGAAAUAAAACAAGGUCAAACUACAUUCUUAAAGACCACUUCAUCUUCCUGUCAGUCCCUGAUUUCCUUUGUCCAGAGGGGAAAUUUUGUAUUUGAACAGUUUCCUGGUGCAGCUUCAACCUUUAUCAUUCUAUGUAAUUCCUGGGAAUUUCUGACUGCCUUAGGAAACCACAACAAGGAUUUUGCUGUAAUAACCUUUGCUAAGAAGAUUAAGUCUGAAUUCAGCUUCAGAUCAGGGCAAGCAGGAGAAUGUUCUUGGUGGGAAGAUGUUCACGUUCAGAAGGUGAUUCAGUCUGAUGCGGCUGAGGCCAAGUCUGAGGGAGUUUAAAGGGCUCAAAUAUAAAGAAGUGAAAGCGUUGCACAGUUUUGAAAAGCUCUGGUGUUCAAUAUGGUCUGGGCACCACAUUUUAAAAACUGGUGUAUUAGUCUUAGAAUGCAAAGAUGUUGUCAGGUCUCAAAUUGUUACCAAUGAGGAAAGGUUCCAUUACUUUCCAUAUUUCUGUUACCACACCUAGUUUAAAUGUGAUUUGAUGACAAAGAGUAAACAGUUGACUUAUUUUGGGCUGGACUGAUCCAGACUGAUGAACGGUCAAGGCCCUGAAUGUCAACUAUUUACUCUUUCCAUAGGUGCUGCCUGGCCAGCUGAGUUCCUCCAGCAUUUUAGAAACAUAGAAAAUAGGUGCAGGAGUAGGCCAUUCGGCCCUUCGAGCCUGCACCGCCAUUUAUUAUGAUCAUGGCUGAUCAUCCAACUCAGAACCCCGCCCCAGCCUUCCCUCCAUACUCCCUGAUCCCCGUAGCCACAAGGGCCAUAUCUAACUCCCUCUUAAAUAUAACCAAUGAACUGGCCUCAACUGUUUCCUGUGGCAGAGAAUACUACAGAUUCACCACUCUCUGUGUGAAGAAGUUUUUCCUAAUCUCGGUCCUAAAAGGCUUCCCCUUUAUCCUCAAGCUGUGACCCCUUGUUCUGGACUUCCCCAACAUCGGGAACAAUCUUCCUGCAUCUAGCCUAUCCAAUCCCUUUAGGAUUUUAUACGUUUCAAUCAGAUCCCCCCUCAAUCUUCUAAAUUCCAAUGAGUACAAGCCCAGUUCAUCCAGUCUUUCUUCAUAUGGAAGUCCUGCCAUCCCAGGAAUCAAUCUGGUGAACCUUCUUUGUACUCCCUCUAUGGCAAGGAUGUCUUUCCUCAGAUUAGGGGACUAAAACUGCACAAAAUACUCCAGGUGUGGUCUCACCAAGGCCUUGUACAACUGCAGUAGUACCUCCCUGCUCCUGUACUCGAAUCCUCUCGCUAUAAAUGCCAGCAUACCAUUCGCCUUUUUCACCGCCUGCUGUACCUGCAUGCCCACUUUCAAUGACUGGUGUAUAAUGACACCCAGGUCUCGUUGCACCUCCCCUUUUCCUAAUCGGCCACCAUUCAGAUAAUAAUCUGUUUUCCUAUGGUUAAUAAUUUUCAAACGAGGCGAUAAGACUACUGCAAGAAUGGGUUAAGGAUGUCUUGCUGCGGCUGCAGAGGGUCUUGAUAAGGUAACAUCUGGAGCUUUGUUUUGUAGUUCUGUUCUCCUUAUCUGAAGUCCUUGCCUUAGAAAAAGUGCAAUAAAGGUUUAAUGGAUGGCAGGACUGAUGUUUAACCAGAGAUUGUGUAAGUUUGAGAAUAGCUGAAUAAGAAGAGAUCACAUUUAAAAAUAUAUGUAAAUUCAGCAUAAACAGACCUGAUACAAGGAGGAUGUUCUGGGUAGCUUGAGUUCUCACUGCCUUGGGAAAUUGGCUAGACAAUUUCUAAUUACCAUCAUGAGUCAUUUAUUCACCAAGAGUGUGGUGAACCUGUGCAAUUCUCUCUCAAGAAGCCAGUGGAGGUCAAGGUAUUCAGUAUAUUCAAGAAGAAUAUAUAAUAUAUUUAAUAUAUAUUAGUUAAAUGGGUAGGGGGAGAAGGUGGGAACAAAACACUGAAGAGAUUGUAUUGAAUGUUUGUGAAGAUCUGAAGGGUAAAUGGCCCAUUCCUGCUAUUUUCUGUUCCUACAAACUGAUUUGGAGAUGAGGCAUGUGAGUGGAAUCAAGUUCAGGACCAGUCAGUCUUGCUGAGUGACAGGACUGGCAUAGCAGGCUAUUCUCGUUCCUCUGUGUUUUGCUUUCAAUGAACCAACGGCUUCCAGACAUGCGUGUUGAGAUCAAAGAUCUGAAAAAUAUUAAUCUCAGUCUUUAUCUGUAACUGAAAUUCAGUUUUUUUUUCCUGUGCUAAUCUCUCCACUUACACUUCCUGCUCAGUUGCUGCAUUGGCAUGAGAACAAUAUUGAACUAUAAGCACACCAUUUCGGAACAUCAAAACAAAGUUUUUCACUGUACCUUUGUACAAGUGACACAAAUAGACCAACUUGCCAAUAGGAUAAUGCCAAUGGGUACUAAUCUGCAGGCAGGAAUACAAUGUUCUGAUUAUCUCCUUUGAAAUUUAAUACAAAUUUUUGUGUGUUAGAUUAACUUUGCCUUAAAGUGAUAUUCUUUUGAUAUAGAAGAAGUGCAGCUCAGAAGAUUGACACAAGAUUGCUGGAUUAGAUCAAAAGAUUUAAUAUUCUGGGUUUGUAAGGUAGUUGAGUACAGGCCAUCAGCUGAAUUCUUAAUAACAUUACUAAUGCUGGACAGCUACAGCAGAAAAAAGUGGAAACACACCCAUUUUCCAGAUUGCCAUCAGUUUAAAGGGGCUACAUCUAAAGCAAGGUCCUUUAUAAGAUUGUCUUUGGUCUGUCUUGCAGUGCGACAUUGCUAUUGUACCACUGUUGCAAUAAAAUUAGAACCUGCAGGCACUUUAGUUUUCUUUGAAAGUACUGGAUAUUUCACAAAUUAUUAAGAGUAUAUACAUUACACAUUAUGAAGGUGCAAUUUCCAGAAAUUUAAUUCUAUUGAUUUAUAUUGCUUAGGAUAUGAUUGAAUUUGAUCCUUUAUUCUUUAGACAUAAAGUAAUAUAAUAUGCUCUAAACAGGCUAUGUAUUGGCAGCCUGAUUUCCUCAUUGGUUUUCUUAUUAGCUGUCCUACAGUAAUCUAAGCAUACAACUUUAGUGGUUUCAUGGACUGCCAGUUACACUAAAGAGAAUAAUAUCUCACUUCUAGUCCUUGAGCAAUGGUCUGCCUUAUUGUACAAUUCUUCUCAAUAUGUGGUGAAUCUCUGGACACAUUUUGUUUCUUUGUGUGCAGAAUCACAUUAAUUAAUAAAAGUGCUCAUUCAGUGAUGGUAUUCAAAUUAGCAAGAAUGCUUUUACACAGGUCUGAAGUAAUUUGGUUAAUUUAGAAUUAUAUUUAAUUCAUGUUGUGGAUUACUGAGAGUUUUCUGUAUCAAUUACAGGAACAGUAUUAUAAAGUAUAUAUUUUGCGUAUGUGGAAUAUAUUUUGCCUUUUGUGUAAAUUAUUGUUGGGCAAGUAUAAUAUUGCCAUUUAUUCUUUUUAAGUGUUAGCACUUUUUAAGCAAUGCUUUAAACAUCUAUUUACUGAUCAGAAUAUUCCAUUUUUAUUUGCAACAUGAAUACCCUACGAUUCAUUUUAUAUGCUUGCAAUAAGAGAUUUUUAAUUGUACAUAAAUAAUCCACAUUUUUACAUUUAAUAUGGCUUUAUAUUUAAAAUGAAUAUUUUAUAUAUCUUCUGUCUCUUGUAAGAUUACGAAAUUGAUGGAUUUUUUUUGGAGAAUAAAACAAUCCUUUGAC